UCCAUCUCUUUUAGAUACCAAAGUUGGUCCGGCAUAUAGUAGACAUAUCUCAAACAUAAAUUAAAUGUCUAAUAAGUAACAAACUCAAAUGAACUGUCUAAACACAAUAGGGCGACAUGAGCAAAGAGAGUGUCUCCACUUUUUUUAGAUGUGUAAAUUGGUCUGAUAUAUAAUAGACAUACGUUUUAAAUGUCUAAUAGGUAGCAAACUC
RNAcentral lists this long non-coding RNA (211 nucleotides) under Capsicum annuum. Its description in RNAcentral is "long non-coding RNA (CANN_LNC007517)". The record is from RNAcentral. Lineage: Eukaryota; Viridiplantae; Streptophyta; Magnoliopsida; Solanales; Solanaceae.